Molecule: ribosomal RNA, 429 nt
Filed under: Daphnia dentifera
Lineage: Eukaryota; Metazoa; Arthropoda; Branchiopoda; Diplostraca; Daphniidae
Description: partial 12S ribosomal RNA
Source: RNAcentral
UUAAAUUUUUGAAGUUAUCUUGGCUUUUUUGUUGGGUGAAAUCAGUAUAAAGAGUUUCUCUUUCUUUUAAAAUUAAUAGGAAUUAAAAAACUUUGAUUUAAAACCAGGAUUAGAUACCCUGUUAUUCUAAGUUAUAUUUAGACAGGGUAGUAAAAGUUGUUCUUCAAACCCAAAGAUUUUGGCGGCACUUUAUCCAAAUAGAGGAGCUUGUCCCUUAAUCGAUAGUCCCCGUUUUAUCUUUCCUCUGUUUGUAGAGCUUGUAUACCGCCGUUGUCAGAUCACUUUUAGAGAAUGUUUUCAAGUUAAAAGACUUUUCUACUUCAGGUCAAGGUGCAGUUUAUAUAGAGGUGGAGGUGAGCUACAAUUUUCUUUAGAAAUACGGAUUUCAAGCCUCGAAGCUGGUUGAAGGUGGAUUUAUUAGUAAAGUAA